GAGGAAAGAGGGGGGCGUGCCUAAUACAUGCAAGUCGAGCGAACAGAUAAGGAGCUUGCUCCUUUGACGUUAGCGGCGGACGGGUGAGUAACACGUGGAUAACCUACCUAUAAGACUGGGAUAACUUCGGGAAACCGGAGCUAAUACCGGAUAAGAUUUUGAACCGCAUGGUUCAAUAGUGAAAGACGGCCUUGCUGUCACUUAUAGAUGGAUCCGCGCCGUAUUAGCUAGUUGGUAAGGUAACGGCUUACCAAGGCAACGAUACGUAGCCGACCUGAGAGGGUGAUCGGCCACACUGGAACUGAGACACGGUCCAGACUCCUACGGGAGGCAGCAGUAGGGAAUCUUCCGCAAUGGGCGAAAGCCUGACGGAGCAACGCCGCGUGAGUGAUGAAGGUCUUCGGAUCGUAAAACUCUGUUAUCAGGGAAGAACAAACGUGUAAGUAACUGUGCACGUCUUGACGGUACCUGAUCAGAAAGCCACGGCUAACUACGUG
This 497-nucleotide ribosomal RNA is filed under the name uncultured bacterium. RNAcentral's name for it is "partial 16S ribosomal RNA". It matches the Rfam family "Bacterial small subunit ribosomal RNA", at positions 28 to 507 of the family's 1533-position model. The record is from RNAcentral.